GUGUCGAAGAGUGCAGGGGGUGCGGUGGAGGAAGCCAGCGGUCCGCGGGGACCGUAUAGCUGACCCUUCCGAUUACGUUAGGUUGAGUCAUUUGGAUUACUUCGCUGUCUGCCGAGAGCGUGGCAUCGGGAGACCUAACCCUCAUCAGGAGUUUGAACAGAAUCACAAGUAACAAAAUUCAGCUUGAUAAUAUAAACUAAUGUAUGACUAUAGUGAAUAAAAUGUUUAAAGCCUUUACAAAUAUACUAUUUAUAGCCUGA
Molecule: long non-coding RNA, 260 nt
Organism: Danaus plexippus (monarch butterfly)
Lineage: Eukaryota; Metazoa; Arthropoda; Insecta; Lepidoptera; Nymphalidae
Exons: 2
Source: RefSeq, a predicted model, not a curated record